Molecule: ribosomal RNA, 253 nt
Filed under: uncultured bacterium
Lineage: Bacteria
Description: partial 16S ribosomal RNA
Rfam family: Bacterial small subunit ribosomal RNA
Source: RNAcentral
UACGUAGGGUCCGAGCGUUGUCCGGAAUUCUUGGGCGUAAAGAGCUCGUAGGCGGUUUGUCGCGUCUGCUGUGAAAUCCCGAGGCUCAACCUCGGGUCUGCAGUGGGUACGGGCAGACUGGAGUGCGGUAGGGGAGAAUGGAAUUCCUGGUGUAGCGGUGGAAUGCGCAGAUAUCAGGAGGAACACCGAUGGCGAGGGCAGUUCUCUGGGCCGUAACUGACGCUGAGGAGCGAAAGCGUGGGGAGCGAACAGG